ACUACUGUACUACUUUGGAUAGUCUUGAUCUCACCUGAUCUUGGAAGUUAAACAGGGUGAGGCCUGGUUAGUACUUGGAUGGAAGAUACUUAGAGAUAUUUGACAUAUAUUAUUU
This 115-nucleotide ribosomal RNA is filed under the name Octodon degus (degu). Lineage: Eukaryota; Metazoa; Chordata; Mammalia; Rodentia; Octodontidae. The record is from RNAcentral.